UACAGAGGGGGCAAGCGUUAAUCGGAAUUACUGGGCGUAAAGCGUGCGCAGGCGGUUAUAUAAGACAGUUGUGAAAUCCCCGGGCUCAACCCUGGGAACUGCAUCUGUGACUGUAUAGCUAGAGUACGGUAGAGGGGGAUGGAAUUCCGCGUGUAGCAGUGAAAUGCGUAGAUAUGCGGAGGAACACCGAUGGCGAAGGGCAAUCCCCCUGGACCUGUACUGACGCUCAUGCACGAAAGCGUGGGGAGCAAACAGG
RNAcentral lists this ribosomal RNA (256 nucleotides) under uncultured bacterium. RNAcentral describes it as "partial 16S ribosomal RNA". It matches the Rfam family "Bacterial small subunit ribosomal RNA", at positions 524 to 776 of the family's 1533-position model. The record is from RNAcentral.